Molecule: long non-coding RNA, 485 nt
Organism: Nomia melanderi (Alkali bee)
Lineage: Eukaryota; Metazoa; Arthropoda; Insecta; Hymenoptera; Halictidae
Source: RefSeq, a predicted model, not a curated record
UCUAGAAUAAAAUUACUCCGCGCCAGAUACGCUACAGCUAAAUAAUUCAGAGGAGAUUACAAGUUCGAGAAACAUGGAAACAGAGCUGAAUAAUCAAAUGAAACUCUCGAAAAUUAUACGGAAAUGAUACCACCCAGUGAUUUUAAUGACUCUAAAAUAUGUUACCUGUUGAAUGACCGAAUAACUCUUUUUUAUACCUGCUUUGCUGCUCGGUUGUGAUCGAUCAAUAAUUUAUAAAAUUCUCCUGCGCUGAUAAUUUUGAUAAAUGCAAAGAUAUGUCGUUCUACAAUCAAAAUUUACAAAAAUCAGAAAAUGUCAAAAAAUUGAUUUAAUGAACCACUCAAUUAUUACACGAUAUAUUCAGAAGCUACAAAACAAGGGCUGUCUAACCUACAAAAAAACCGAAGAACCGAGUCAAAUCCUUUAACACGUUGACUGCCACGAGAAUAUCUAGCGUUUUGAAUAGUAAUACUCAUUCUUUAAUA